Molecule: transfer RNA, 69 nt
Filed under: Pseudocheilinus hexataenia (sixline wrasse)
Lineage: Eukaryota; Metazoa; Chordata; Actinopteri; Labriformes; Labridae
Description: tRNA-Ser
Source: RNAcentral
GAGAGAGGCUUGCCUGCAACGGAGGUUGCUAACCACCGUAGUCCGGGUUGAACUCCCGGGCUCUACUCG